CGCUAUCACUCCUACGGGAGGCAGCAGUGGGGAAUAUUGCACAAUGGGGGAAACCCUGAUGCAGCCAUGCCGCGUGUGUGAAGAAGGCCUUCGGGUUGUAAAGCACUUUCAGUAGGGAGGAAGGUAGUGUAGUUAACACCUACACUAUUUGACGUUACCUACAGAAGAAGCACCGGCUAACUCCGUGCCAGCAGCCGCGGUAAUACGGAGGGUGCGAGCGUUAAUCGGAAUUACUGGGCGUAAAGCGCAUGCAGGCGGCCUGUUAAGUCAGAUGUGAAAGCCCGGGGCUUAACCUCGGAAUUGCAUUUGAAACUGGCAGGCUAGAGUCUUGUAGAGGGGGUAGAAUUUCAGGUGUAGCGGUGAAAUGCGUAGAGAUCUGAAGGAAUACCAGUGGCGAAGGCGGCCCCCUGGACAAAGACUGACGCUCAGAUGCGAAAGCGUGGGGAGCAAACAGGAUUAGAUACCCUGGUAG
RNAcentral lists this ribosomal RNA (472 nucleotides) under uncultured bacterium. RNAcentral describes it as "bacterial SSU rRNA". It matches the Rfam family "Bacterial small subunit ribosomal RNA", at positions 328 to 793 of the family's 1533-position model. The record is from RNAcentral.